This 253-nucleotide ribosomal RNA is filed under the name uncultured bacterium. RNAcentral's name for it is "partial 16S ribosomal RNA". It matches the Rfam family "Bacterial small subunit ribosomal RNA", at positions 524 to 776 of the family's 1533-position model. The record is from RNAcentral.
GACGGAAGGUGCAAGCGUUGCUCGGAAUCACUGGGCGUAAAGGGUGCGUAGGCGGCCGUGCAAGUCUGGCGUGAAAGCCCCGGGCUCAGCCCGGGAAGUGCGCUCGAAACUGCGCGGCUCGAGUGCCGGAGGGGAGAGUGGAAUUCCUGGUGUAGCGGUGAAAUGCGUAGAUAUCUGGAGGAACACCGGUGGCGAAGGCGGCAUCCUGGACCAAUAUUGACGCUGAGGAGCGAAAGCCAGGGGAGCAAACGGG